UAGGGAAUCUUCGGCAAUGGACGAAAGUCUGACCGAGCAACGCCGCGUGAGUGAAGAAGGUUUUCGGAUCGUAAAACUCUGUUGUUAGAGAAGAACAAGGACGUUAGUAACUGAACGUCCCCUGACGGUAUCUAACCAGAAAGCCACGGCUAACUACGUGCCAGCAGCCGCGGUAAUAUGUAGGUGGCAAGCGUUGUCCGGAUUUAUUGGGCGUAAAGCGAGCGCAGGCGGUUUCUUAAGUCUGAUGUGAAAGCCCCCGGCUCAACCGGGGAGAGUCAUUGGAAACUGGGAGACUUGAGUGCAGAAGAGGAGAGUGGAAUUCCAUGUGUAGCGGUGAAAUGCGUAGAUAUAUGGAGGAACACCAGUGGCGAAGGCGGCUCUCUGGUCUGUAACUGACGCUGAGGCUCGAAAGCGUGGGGAGCAAACAGG
Molecule: ribosomal RNA, 429 nt
Filed under: Chloroflexota bacterium
Lineage: Bacteria; Bacillati; Chloroflexota
Description: Chloroflexi bacterium partial 16S ribosomal RNA
Rfam family: Bacterial small subunit ribosomal RNA
Source: RNAcentral